AUGUAUGAUAUGGGUAAUUGUGAUGUUAAUGAAGACAAAGAGGAGGAGGAGAUCGAGGAGGACAAGGAGGAGUUUCUCUCUUCCAUAUGUGAGCUCGGCAAAGCGGGCCUUGAGUCUCUGCACAUCUUUGUAAAGGAGGCAGCGGAUGAGUACUUCAAGCGUUCAUGGUUUCCCGAUCCUCAUUGUGGCCUUCAUGAGCUUAUCGUCGUGGGGGACUCCCUCUCGAAGGUUCCGGCAUCGGUGGCCUCGCUCGUCAACCUUGAGAAACUAUGCAUCACAAUGGGAGUGAUCAAUGAGAGAGACAUGGAGAUACUGAGAGGCUUGCCCAGCUUGUGCCAUCUUCGCGGUCUGAGUCGCGGGCUGCUAUGGAGAAAGCAAUGGAGGAACAUCCUAAUCAUCCCACCUUGGUUUGGUAUGACGAUUAGCUCUGGGGUUUUUGGCCACCUUUCAGGUGUUAACAAAAGGUGA
RNAcentral lists this ribosomal RNA (468 nucleotides) under Triticum aestivum (bread wheat). RNAcentral's name for it is "partial small subunit ribosomal RNA". The record is from RNAcentral. Lineage: Eukaryota; Viridiplantae; Streptophyta; Magnoliopsida; Poales; Poaceae.